ACGGGGGCAACCCUGGUGGCGAGUGGCGGACGGGUGAGUAAUGCAUCGGAACGUGCCCUGAAGUGGGGGAUAACGCAGCGAAAGCUACGCUAAUACCGCAUAUUCUGUGAGCAGGAAAGCAGGGGAUCGCAAGACCUUGCGCUUUGGGAGCGGCCGAUGUCGGAUUAGCUAGUUGGUGGGGUAAAGGCCUACCAAGGCGACGAUCCGUAGCGGGUCUGAGAGGAUGAUCCGCCACACUGGGACUGAGACACGGCCCAGACUCCUACGGGAGGCAGCAGUGGGGAAUUUUGGACAAUGGGCGGAAGCCUGAUCCAGCCAUGCCGCGUGAGUGAAGAAGGCCUUCGGGUUGUAAAGCUCUUUCGGCGGGGAAGAAAUUGCUUGGGUUAAUACCCUGAGUAGAUGACGGUACCCGAAUAAGAAGCACCGGCUAACUACGUGCCAGCAGCCGCGGUAAUACGUAGGGUGCGAGCGUUAAUCGGAGUUACUGGGCGUAAAGCGUGCGCAGGCGGUUUUGUAAGUCAGAUGUGAAAUCCCCGGGCUCAACCUGGGAACUGCAUUUGAGACUGCAAGACUGGAGUUUGGCAGAGGGGGGUGGAAUUCCACGUGUAGCAGUGAAAUGCGUAGAGAUGUGGAGGAACACCGAUGGCGAAGGCAGCCCCCUGGGCCAAUACUGACGCUCAUGCACGAAAGCGUGGGGAGCAAACAGGGUUAGAUACCCUGGUAGUCCACGCCCUAAACGAUGUCAACUAGGUGUUGGGAGGGUUAAACCUUUUAGUGCCGUAGCUAACGCGUGAAGUUGACCGCCUGGGGAGUACGGCCGCAAGGCUAAAACUCAAAGGAAUUGACGGG
This 849-nucleotide ribosomal RNA is filed under the name uncultured bacterium. RNAcentral describes it as "bacterial SSU rRNA". It matches the Rfam family "Bacterial small subunit ribosomal RNA", at positions 73 to 917 of the family's 1533-position model. The record is from RNAcentral.